RNAcentral lists this ribosomal RNA (448 nucleotides) under uncultured bacterium. Its description in RNAcentral is "bacterial SSU rRNA". It matches the Rfam family "Bacterial small subunit ribosomal RNA", at positions 64 to 507 of the family's 1533-position model. The record is from RNAcentral.
GAACGGCAGCACGGGGGCAACCCUGGUGGCGAGUGGCGAACGGGUGAGUAAUAUAUCGGAACGUGCCCUAGAGUGGGGGAUAACGUAGCGAAAGUUACGCUAAUACCGCAUACGAUCUAAGGAUGAAAGCGGGGGAUCGCAAGACCUCGCGCUCGUGGAGCGGCCGAUAUCUGAUUAGCUAGUUGGUAGGGUAAAAGCCUACCAAGGCGACGAUCAGUAGCUGGUCUGAGAGGACGACCAGCCACACUGGGACUGAGACACGGCCCAGACUCCUACGGGAGGCAGCAGUGGGGAAUUUUGGACAAUGGGGGCAACCCUGAUCCAGCAAUGCCGCGUGAGUGAAGAAGGCCUUCGGGUUGUAAAGCUCUUUUGUCAGGGAAGAAACGGUCUGGGCUAAUAUCCCGGGCUAAUGACGGUACCUGAAGAAUAAGCACCGGCUAACUACGUG